This 1482-nucleotide ribosomal RNA is filed under the name uncultured bacterium. RNAcentral's name for it is "bacterial SSU rRNA". It matches the Rfam family "Bacterial small subunit ribosomal RNA". The record is from RNAcentral.
GAUUAGAGUUUGAUCCUGGCUCAGGAUUAAUGCUAGCGGCGUGCCUUAUGCAUGCAAGUCGAACGGUUCUGAUUUAUCAGGAUAGUGGCAAACGGGUGAGUAAUACGUAAGUAACCUGCCCUAAAGUAAGGAAUAAUCCUUCGAAAGAAAGACUAAUACCAUAUGUGGUGCCCCUUCGUAUGGAGGGUCACUAAAGCCGUAAGGCGCUUUUGGAGGGGCUUGCGUCCGAUUAGCUAGUUGGUGGGGUAACGGCCUACCAAGGCGAUGAUCGGUUGCUGGUUUGAGAGAAUGACCAGCCACACUGGGACUGAGACACGGCCCAGACUCCUACGGGAGGCAGCAGCAAGGAAUAUUGCGCAAUGGGCGAAAGCCUGACGCAGCGACGCCGCGUGAGGGAAGAAGGCCUUCGGGUCGUAAACCUCUUUUCUAGGGGAAGAAUAAUGACGGUACCCAGGGAAUAAGUCACGGCUAACUACGUGCCAGCAGCCGCGGUAAUACGUAGGCGGCGAGCAUUAUCCGGAUUUAUUGGGCGUAAAGCGAGUGUAGGUGGUUCUUCAAGUCGGAUGUGAAAUUUCCCGGCUCAACCGGGAAGGGUCAUUCGAAACUGUUGGACUUGAGGGCAGUAGAGGGAGGUGGAAUUCCCGGUGUAGUGGUGAAAUGCGUAGAUAUCGGGAGGAACACCAGUGGCGAAAGCGGCCUCCUGGACUGCUCCUGACACUGAGGCUCUAAAGCGUGGGUAGCAAACAGAAUUAGAUACUCUGGUAGUCCACGCCCUAAACGAUGGAUACUAGGUAUGGGGGGUAUCGACCCCCUCCGUGCCAAAGUUAACACAUUAAGUAUCCCGCCUGGGGAGUACGGUCGCAAGACUAAAACUCAAAGGAAUUGACGGGGGCCCGCACAAGCAGCGGAGCGUGUGGUUUAAUUCGAUGCAACACGAAGAACCUCACCCAGGCUUGACAUACAAGAAGUAGUGAACCGAAAGGGGAACGAACUGUUAAGUCAGUCGCUUGAACAGGUGCUGCAUGGUUGUCGUCAGCUCGUGCCGUGAGGUGUUGGGUUAAGUCCCGCAACGAGCGCAACCCUCGUUGCCAGUUGUUUUCUCUGGCGAGACUGCCCCGCAAGACGGGGAGGAAGGUGGGGAUGACGUCAAAUCAGCACGGCCCUUAUGCCUGGGGCUACACACACGCUACAAUGGCGGUACAAUAGGUUGCAAUGGGGUGACUCGGAGCUAAUCCUAAAAACCGUCCCCAGUUCAGAUUGUAGGCUGAAACCCGCCUGCAUGAAGUCGGAGUUGCUAGUAAACGCAUAUCAGCAUGGUGCGUUGAAUACGUUCUCGGGCCUUGUACACACCGCCCGUCACGUCAUGAAAGCCGGUAACACCUGAAGUCGAUGGGCUAACUCGCAAGAGAGGCAGUCGCCGAAGGUGGGACUGGUAAUUGGGACGAAGUCGUAACAAGGUAACCAUCUCUAGAGGUCCCCGGU